UCGCGGUGUAGCUCAGCUGGCUAGAGCGUCCGGUUCAUACCCGGGAGGUCGGGGGUUCGAUCCCCUCCGCCGCGAUUAU
Molecule: transfer RNA, 79 nt
Filed under: Enterococcus faecalis PC1.1
Lineage: Bacteria; Bacillati; Bacillota; Bacilli; Lactobacillales; Enterococcaceae
Description: tRNA-Met
Rfam family: tRNA
About the family: Transfer RNA (tRNA) molecules are approximately 80 nucleotides in length. Their secondary structure includes four short double-helical elements and three loops (D, anti-codon, and T loops).
Source: RNAcentral